UAUGUUAGGUACAUGCGGUGUAAAAGAUUUGGAGUGUAUAUAUACAUUUUUUCUAACAGCAAAAAAGCGUUUUUCGAGACAAAACAAAAUAUAAAAAAAAAAAAAAAAACACAUCUUUGCCCUCAUACCUAUAUAACCUAAACGAAUAGUUUCUUCGCUCCACUCGGAAUAUAAAAACGUAAAACCGUCGUGUGUAUGGUUUUUAGUCACAAACCGAAUGUCGAAUCGAAUAAUAAUAAUAGGAUGCCGCCGAUACAGCUCAGCACUUUCACGCAGCGUUAUAGUGAAACCUAGUGGCAGUCUUGAAAUUGCGUCGAAAGGCUAUGGACGAGGAGGUGUAUAACAAUCGUUGUGUUUUCAAAUAUUUCUGCUAAGGGUUAUAUAAUAAUUAAUGAUACUCUAAAAACGUUUCGAAGUCUAGCCACUAUAAUUGCAUAAAGAAUAUUAAUUAAGAAAAAAAAAACUAUUUCGA
Molecule: non-coding RNA, 472 nt
Organism: Cinara cedri
Lineage: Eukaryota; Metazoa; Arthropoda; Insecta; Hemiptera; Aphididae
Source: the annotation of a GenBank genome assembly